RNAcentral lists this microRNA precursor (179 nucleotides) under Pelodiscus sinensis (Chinese soft-shelled turtle). Its description in RNAcentral is "miRNA (ENSPSIG00000019994.1)". The record is from RNAcentral. Lineage: Eukaryota; Metazoa; Chordata; Testudines; Trionychidae.
UUCAAAAAGGAAGACUUUGGUUUUGGUCUUUAGUAUUUAAUAUUUUCUUUAUUAGAUAAAUAUACUGGAUUUUAUGUUGUCUAAUACAUUUAAAUAAUAAUAGAUAUGGCUAAAGGGCCAGAUUUUGCUUUAAUUUAUCUUGUGUAAACCCAGUAAAAUCAAUAUUGUCUGAUACUUCA